Molecule: long non-coding RNA, 90 nt
Organism: Amblyraja radiata (thorny skate)
Lineage: Eukaryota; Metazoa; Chordata; Chondrichthyes; Rajiformes; Rajidae
Exons: 3
Source: RefSeq, a predicted model, not a curated record
CAAUGUUUCUUGGGCAUCAUGAAGCCCAAGGAACACACCAGACAGGCCAGGGAUCAAGUUGUGGGGAAGUUUAAAGCAGGAUUAGGUUAU